GGCCCUAUGGUCUAGUAGUAUGAUUCUCGCUUUGGGUGCGAGAGGCCCCGGGUUCAAUUCCCGGUGGGGCCC
Molecule: non-coding RNA, 72 nt
Organism: Obelidium mucronatum
Lineage: Eukaryota; Fungi; Chytridiomycota; Chytridiomycetes; Chytridiales; Chytriomycetaceae
Source: the annotation of a GenBank genome assembly